This 413-nucleotide ribosomal RNA is filed under the name uncultured bacterium. RNAcentral's name for it is "bacterial SSU rRNA". It matches the Rfam family "Bacterial small subunit ribosomal RNA", at positions 28 to 436 of the family's 1533-position model. The record is from RNAcentral.
GACGAACGCUGGCGGCGCGCCUAACACAUGCAAGUCGAACGAGAGAUGAAGAGCUUGCUCUUCAAAUCGAGUGGCGAACGGGUGAGUAACGCGUGAGGAACCUGCCUCAAAGAGGGGGACAACAGUUGGAAACGACUGCUAAUACCGCAUAAGCCCACGGCUCGGCAUCGAGCAGAGGGAAAAGGAGCAAUCCGCUUUGAGAUGGCCUCGCGUCCGAUUAGCUAGUUGGUGAGGUAACGGCCCACCAAGGCGACGAUCGGUAGCCGGACUGAGAGGUUGAACGGCCACAUUGGGACUGAGACACGGCCCAGACUCCUACGGGAGGCAGCAGUGGGGAAUAUUGCACAAUGGGGGAAACCCUGAUGCAGCGACGCCGCGUGGAGGAAGAAGGUCUUCGGAUUGUAAACUCCUGU